Molecule: ribosomal RNA, 443 nt
Filed under: uncultured soil bacterium
Lineage: Bacteria
Description: bacterial SSU rRNA
Rfam family: Bacterial small subunit ribosomal RNA
Source: RNAcentral
AGAACGAACGCUGGCGGCAGGCUUAACACAUGCAAGUCGAACGCACCGCAAGGUGAGUGGCAGACGGGUGAGUAACGCGUGGGAAUCUACCCAACCCUUCGGAAUAGCUCCGGGAAACUGGAAUUAAUACCGAGUACGCCCUACGGGGGAAAGAUUUAUCGGGGUUGGAUGAGCCCGCGUUGGAUUAGCUAGUUGGUGGGGUAAUGGCCUACCAAGGCGACGAUCCAUAGCUGGUCUGAGAGGAUGAUCAGCCACACUGGGACUGAGACACGGCCCAGACUCCUACGGGAGGCAGCAGUGGGGAAUAUUGGACAAUGGGCGCAAGCCUGAUCCAGCCAUGCCGCGUGAGUGAUGAAGGCCCUAGGGUUGUAAAGCUCUUUCAGUGGGGAAGAUAAUGACGGUACCACAGAAGAAGCCCCGGCUAACUUCGUGCCAGCAGCCGC